Long non-coding RNA from Gossypium raimondii (Peruvian cotton), 252 nucleotides. RefSeq lists it as uncharacterized. The transcript is spliced from 2 exons. The record is from RefSeq and is a predicted model, not a curated record. Lineage: Eukaryota; Viridiplantae; Streptophyta; Magnoliopsida; Malvales; Malvaceae.
UAAAUCUCCCCUCGUUCUUGCUGGUUUCUCCCUUGUUUACUGGGGAAGUCUACAUUUGGACGGUUGGUUAGAAAGUGUUAUUCUUCCUUCAAGGUGAGAUGGUUUGCUGUCACUCACUGUUAUUAUUGUUGUUAUUGUUAUUGCUUUUCUUUUGAGUAGUCUGGUUCUAAAUGAUAUAUUGACCUUAUCCCAUAGGUAGCAACAUUUUAUCUUUUGAUCUUUGGACCUAUAAUUUAGCAUGGUUUACAGUAA